GAUGAAGAACGUAGCGAAAUGCGAUAAUUAAUGUGAAUUGCAGAAUUCCGUGAAUCAUCGAGUCUUUGAACGCACAUUGCGCCUCAUGGCAUUCCGUGAGGCAUGCCCAUCUCAGCGUUAGAAAAUAUUCUCAAAUUUUAGUUUUGUGCUAAAAUUUGGAUCAUGUCAAGGAAGCUAUUACUAUUAUUGUGAUCGCUCUUUGGAAAUUGAUAGGUCUUUGAGUUGCUACUCAUAGAACGUGAUGAAUCUUUCUUCGUUCUAUUGUAAUUCACUCUGGUAGUCCUAAAACUUGUAUGCCUGUGGCAUAUCUUGUAAUUUGACCUGAGAUUGGGUAGGGAUACCCGCUGAACUCAAGCAUAUCAAUAAGCGGAGGA
This 374-nucleotide unclassified non-coding RNA is filed under the name soil metagenome. Its description in RNAcentral is "partial internal transcribed spacer 1". The stretch from base 1 to 120 matches the Rfam family "5.8S ribosomal RNA", at positions 35 to 154 of the family's 154-position model. The record is from RNAcentral.